UACAGAGGUCCCGAGCGUUGUUCGGAUUCAUUGGGCGUAAAGGGUGCGUAGGCGGCCUGCUAAGUUUGAUGUGAAAGCCCGGGGCUCAACCCUGGAAUUGCAUUGAAUACUGGCGGGCUAGAGUACUGGAGAGGAAACUGGAAUUUACGGUGUAGCAGUGAAAUGCGUAGAGAUCGUAAGGAAGACCAGUGGCGAAGGCGAGUUUCUGGACAGUUACUGACGCUGAGACGCGAAAGCGUGGGGAGCAAACAGG
This 253-nucleotide ribosomal RNA is filed under the name uncultured bacterium. RNAcentral's name for it is "partial 16S ribosomal RNA". It matches the Rfam family "Bacterial small subunit ribosomal RNA", at positions 524 to 776 of the family's 1533-position model. The record is from RNAcentral.